AACGUAGGAGACAAACGUUAUCCGGAGUUACUGGGCGUAAAGGGCGUGUAGGUGGUUGUGUAAGUUCGGCGUGAAAUCUCUCGGCUUAACCGGGAGUGGUCGUCGGAUACUGCACGGCUAGAGGACGGUAGAGGCGUGUGGAAUUCCGGGUGUAGUGGUGAAAUGCGUAGAGAUCCGGAGGAACACCAGUGGCGAAGGCGACACGCUGGGCCGUACCUGACACUGAGGCGCGAUAGCAUGGGGAGCAAACAGG
RNAcentral lists this ribosomal RNA (253 nucleotides) under uncultured bacterium. Its description in RNAcentral is "partial 16S ribosomal RNA". It matches the Rfam family "Bacterial small subunit ribosomal RNA", at positions 524 to 776 of the family's 1533-position model. The record is from RNAcentral.